AUAACUUCUAUUGCUAUGUUUUCAAAUUUACUAAUCUUGGGGGACAAUAUUUCAUCUACCAUUAAUUCUGUCCAGUGUGAUUUUAAUCUCAGGAUUGAGAUCUUCCCAAAGCAUGAUGAGUAAGGUGCCAGUGUUUACCUGGAGGAAAUCUCUCCAGAUGGUGCUAAUGUACUCUGCCUCGUUCAGCAUCUUUACUGGCAACUUGGAAGUCAAAGAGAGCAGGCGUAUUAGCCCUGAGCUAACAUCUGCUGCCAACCCUCUUUUUUUUGCUGAGGAAGACUGGCCUUGAGCUAACAUCCAUGCCCAUCUUCUUCUGCUUUAUAUGUGGGACGCCUGCCACAGGAUGACUUGACAAGUGGUGCAUAGGUCCGCACCUGGGAUCCAAACCUGCAAACCCCGGGCUGCUGAAGCGGAACGUGCAAACUUAACUGCUGUGCCACCGGGCCAGUCCCUGUAUGUCUGGUAAGUUUUGACUGGAUGCCAGGUGGGGAAGUAAAUCUGGUCCUUGUUUCUCUGUCUUGGCUUCUGCAAAUGGAGGUCCAAAUGUCACACCCAUCUGGAACACUUACCACCCAAAACCAUUGAAUAUUGAAACUCUUAAGUUAGGUUGCAUACUGUUGAACUCACAUCCAAUUGAUUCCAGGCGAAGACAGCUAUUUUCUUGUCUUUACAUCCCUACAGACUUAACCAAUAGCCUGGUGCUUGGCUGACACUCAGUAAAAGCUGGCGAAUGAAUAAACUAUUUUGAGCAAACAGCUGUCCAUCUGCUUCUGGUGUUUUCUUCCAACAUUUGUUGGUAGGCUUUUGCGAUUUUCUUCUUGCCUGCCAGCAGCAAAAGAAAGCUAGGCAAGAUGGAAAUUUCUGGGACUUCUUAUUCAUGAUUGUAAUUAUCCACAAAAAUGUACCCUUUAAAAAAGCUUAUUUACAGGCAUGAGGGAACUUUUGGGGCUGAUGGCAAUGUUCUAAAACUGGGUUAUACAAGUUUAUAAAAAAUCAUUGAAUUGUACACUUAAAAAUAGGUGAAUUUUGUGAUAUAUAAAUUACACCUAAAU
This 1052-nucleotide long non-coding RNA is filed under the name Equus caballus (horse). RNAcentral's name for it is "lncRNA (ENSECAG00000048571.1)". Lineage: Eukaryota; Metazoa; Chordata; Mammalia; Perissodactyla; Equidae. The record is from RNAcentral.